AUACGUAUGGGGCAAGCGUUAUCCGGAUUUACUGGGUGUAAAGGGUGCGUAGGUGGCAAGGCAAGUCAGAAGUGAAAGCUCGGGGCUCAACCUCGGAACUGCUUUUGAAACUGCCAGGCUAGAGUGCAGGAGAGGUAAGUGGAAUUCCUAGUGUAGCGGUGAAAUGCGUAGAUAUUAGGAGGAACACCAGCGGCGAAGGCGGCUUACUGGACUGUAACUGACGCUGAGGCACGAAAGCGUGGGGAGCAAACAGGAUUAGAAACCCGGGUAGUCCACGUCGUAAACGAUGAAUACUAGGUGUUGGGGAGCAAAGCUCUUCGGUGCCGCAGCUAACGCAUUAAGUAUUCCACCUGGGGAGUACGUUCGCAAGAAUGAAACUCAAAGGAAUUGACGGGG
Molecule: ribosomal RNA, 396 nt
Filed under: uncultured bacterium
Lineage: Bacteria
Description: partial 16S ribosomal RNA
Rfam family: Bacterial small subunit ribosomal RNA
Source: RNAcentral